This 271-nucleotide ribosomal RNA is filed under the name uncultured Lachnospiraceae bacterium. RNAcentral's name for it is "partial 16S ribosomal RNA". It matches the Rfam family "Bacterial small subunit ribosomal RNA", at positions 77 to 339 of the family's 1533-position model. The record is from RNAcentral. Lineage: Bacteria; Bacillati; Bacillota; Clostridia; Lachnospirales; Lachnospiraceae.
UCUUCGGAAGCGGACUGAUCUGACUGAGUGGCGGACGGGUGAGUAACGCGUGGGUAACCUGCCCUGUACAGGGGGAUAACAGUUAGAAAUGACUGCUAACACCGCAUAAGCGCACAGAAAGGCAUCUUUCGGUGUGAAAAUAUUUAUAGGUACAGGAUGGGCUCGCGUCUGAUUAGCCAGUUGGCAGGGUAACGGCCUACCAAAGCAACGAUCAGUAGCCGGCUUGAGAGAGUGAACGGCCACAUUGGGACUGAGACACGGCCCAAACUCC